Molecule: long non-coding RNA, 2031 nt
Filed under: Homo sapiens (human)
Lineage: Eukaryota; Metazoa; Chordata; Mammalia; Primates; Hominidae
Description: HSALNT0309877
Source: RNAcentral
AGGCACUCAACACUGGGGUGCUGAGGACACGGGGGUGCGCCCUCCAACAAGGGCUGUGCUGGGACAGGCCCAGCUGUGAGGCCGCAGUUGACCUCCCAGAGGGACACGGGUCUGCUGCUCCAGAGACGCGGCCCUGCCAGGAGGGCUCCGUGAGUGCACACUCUCCUCUGGGCUUCCCGGGUGCGGGGCCUCCCCUGGCACAGCACAGCCCCUCACAGCACAGGCCUCACUGGGCUCUAGCUCUGUAUCUGUGCUCCUGGCAGGCCAGCACCCCAUCGCAAUGUCCUGUGCCUCUCAGGGCCCAGGGUGACCCCUCCCCAGCACAGCUGCCGUGCAGGACUCCUGCCAGUCCCAUUCACGCUGGCCUGCCCCCAGCCUGUCCCCGCAGGACUCCUGCCAGUCCCAUUCACGCUGGCCUGCCCCCAGCCUGUCCCCGCAGGACUCCUGCCAGUCCCUUUCACGCUGGCCUGCCCCCAGCCUGUCCCCGCAGGACUCCUGCCAGUCCCUUUCACGCUGGCCUGCCCCCAGCCUGCCAUUUCAGAGGCAGCCUUGGUAACCAAUGCUCAAAUGACCACUGCCCAGGCCAGAAUCUCAGAGGAGGCCACAGGUGCCCGCCCGGACAGGCUGUUCUCAACACUCUCUACUGCAAACUACACACAGUUUUACGUCGCCAGAAAGACCCCAAAUUUCUAUUCAAAAAGACCGUACCAGUUUCAGUUCCCGCCAACCUCAAAGGCAGAGACAAAAGGACGGUGUGCCCCUCCUGUAACUUCAUUUCUUCGGUGACUGUGAAGCUGAGGGCAGAGUCCACGCCUGGGGACAGGGCUGCCACCGCAGCGGCCACUGCGUCCAACCCUCGCUCCUCCUCCCAGAGACGACCUGCGUUCCGCUCAGGGACAGGGCUGCCAACGCAGCGGCCACCGCACCCAACGCUCGCUCCUCCUCCCAGAGACAACCUGAGCUCUGCUCAGAAGCGGCACCUCCUCAUGCUGGACUCACUCGGGCCCACAUGUGCCAAGGGGGCCUGGUUUUGGGGCCGGCGGGUUCUGCCUGAUGCUCAGAGGGUAACUGGAUGCUGAAAACUGUGAGUCUUUCUUCAACUCAGGGGAAUGUUUCCAGGGCACGCCAGGCCUCACUCACGCAGGCCUCCGCGACAACUGUUCAGCACUGACUGAGGGUGAAGUGAAAUCCUGAAAGCUGAGAGCCAGCGCCCUCACACGAGGGCUGGGACGUAACAAAAGCCCAUCAAGAGUUUUGCCCAGGGCUUUCUUGGGCCUUGAAGCAUGACGAGACCAGGACCCGUUUAGGAUUAAACAAGUUUUACUGGGGGUCUGAAAAAACUCCCCAGGCCUCCACAAACAAGUGGAGAAGGAACUCCCCAAACCUCCAUGAUUUAGCAGAAGACAAGAUAAGGGUAAACACCUGGGCCCAUUUAGAUCAAGUAAAUUUACUGAGUCUUCAGAGGAAGAUCUUCAGGACCAGACCUCAGUUAGAGAUGAGAAGAAUUGAAUCACGUACGUCUUUAGACGAAUGCACACUGACACGGAGACACAGAGCUUAGAAGGUGUGUAAGCUCUGGAAAAACUGUAAUCUGGAGUUGGUCUGGCGAUCAUUUCCAGGCCUUCUCCCUGUAACCAGUUACAGAAAUAAAAUCCCUCUUCUUCCCCAGUUCAUCUGCAUCUCGCUAUCGGGCCUCGGGAAUGAGCAACCCGACCCUGGGUUUGGUCCGGGAACGUUUUGUUCUCUGCGUGAACUGCUUUCUCAUCUGUGGUCUUUUCUGUCUUCUGGGACUCCUGUUGUUGGCACGUGGGCUCCUCCCGGGCCACUUUCCCUUUACCUGGCAGGAUCCUCUCCUGUGCCUUUCCUGGGCUGAGGGGGGAGGGAGGGAGGGAGGGAGGGUGGCCUGCCGAGGUCCCUGGGCUAAGAGGGGAGAGUGGCCUGCAGAGGUCCCUGGGCUGAGGGGGGAGGGAGGGAGGGUGGCCUGCAGAGGUCCCUGGGCUGAGGGGGGAGGGAGGGAGGGUGGCCUGCAGA